Long non-coding RNA from Lycium barbarum (goji berry), 1458 nucleotides. RefSeq lists it as uncharacterized. The transcript is spliced from 3 exons. The record is from RefSeq and is a predicted model, not a curated record. NCBI's taxonomy places the organism in Eukaryota, Viridiplantae, Streptophyta, Magnoliopsida, Solanales, Solanaceae.
AUUGGUAAGCUAUGCAGGAGAAAAAAAGCUUUUCAAUUAUGUCCUCCUUAAAACUUGGAACCCUCUUCGAAUAAGAAAAAUUAACAGUGCUCCAGGAAAACAUGAAACAGAACCAAGAAUGUUGAGUAAAAGGGUAUGUUGUAGCAGUGAAACUGUUACAAUUUAUACUAGAAAGGAAGUUGCAGAUUUUUAAAUUCUUUUGAUAGCUGCAAAGAUACUCAUAGUUUUCUUUUAUUUUUCAAAUCUGCAAGAGAACAACCAGAUUUUUUUUUUACUUGUUAAGAGCAAUAUGGAUUUAUUUUUUAGAGAAGGAUAAAAAUAGUUAUUUACAAACCAAAAGACUAUGUUAAUAGAAUGUAUUAACCUUUCCAAGUUAAAGGUUCGGAUGGCACCUUACUUCUUAUACAUAACAUUAGCAAUAUCCUUUUUGAUUAUUUUUCAUGAUCGGGGAGUUUAUUUUAUUUUUAAUUCUUACUUAUUUAUUUUGGAGGAGCUUGGGACGAAGAAAUAGUAAAUUGAGAUUGCUAUGAUAGUUUAUUAAGUGAAAAGUACAUUCUAUGCACAACUUUAUUUUUGUAAUUCAUUUUGUGCAUCCUUUUUUAAUUUAAAUUUUGUAUGCAGAUUAAUUUAUGUGUUGCACAAGUGUGAGACUCUUUUCUCUAAAUUUGCUUAGGUAUAGUGAUUAGACAAAGACAACUUAGAGAUAAAUUGCUUUCUUGAUUUGUAAUGCAGUGUUUAUACUAUCUUAUGAGUGAGUUUUUCUUAUUUGUGAUUGGAAUGAGCAGGUUCACUUUAAUGUUGGAGUUCAAGCUCUUAGGCUCCCAUAUAAGAUAUAUGUGAAAAAUCACGUUGUUGCAAUCUUUGAAGUGUGCAAUAUAGCUCUUGCUUCCAGCUGACAUGAAGUCUUCCAAAAUUUUGAUUAUUUGGAGAUGCUUCGAAAGACAAGGCAACAUGUGGGUUCGUGGUACCUGUUCGACUGCCAGGUGAUUGAUCAAGGCAUAUGUGGAAAUACGCGGUGCCUAUCUGGAGGGCCUCCUCCCAUUUCAUUCCGAGACGGAGGUUGAGUUUUAGAAUGUAGUAGCAAUCUGAAGUCAUUAGUCGCUCUUGUACUAAUCUAGACCAGGUCAUAGGAAGAUGGAUUGAGUCUGUAAUCAUGUAUUUGUUCUAAUCAUAUGAACACUUGAGUUUAUUACAUAAAUAUUAUGAUAUUCCGCUGUUAUUUCUAAAUAUCUAUUGGUUUAAAUGAAUCGUCCUUAUUUGAUUGAUGUGUAUUCAAUGAGAGGUUUCCCUAUUGAGGUGGGAAAGGUAGGUGCCCGCGCGAUCCCGAAUUGGGUCGUGACAAUCUGCCUUUAUGCCUCUUUUCUCGCUUCCUCUAAGCUGGCAUGAACUUUUGAUGAGAGGAAUAUCUAUGUCUUGUUGAUGCUACAUUGAUUACAACAGUGAUUUCCUCUUAGAAAG